RNAcentral lists this ribosomal RNA (253 nucleotides) under uncultured bacterium. RNAcentral's name for it is "partial 16S ribosomal RNA". It matches the Rfam family "Bacterial small subunit ribosomal RNA", at positions 524 to 776 of the family's 1533-position model. The record is from RNAcentral.
GACGAACCGUGCAAACGUGGUUCGGAAUCACUGGGCUUAAAGGGCGCGUAGGCGGCUUCCCAAGUCCGGGGUGAAAUCUUUCGGCUUAACCGGAAAAGUGCCUUGGAUACUGGGAGGCUCGAGGGGGGUAGGGGCAAGCGGAACUUCCGGUGGAGCGGUGAAAUGCGUUGAUAUCGGAAGGAACGCCGGCGGCGAAAGCGGCUUGCUGGACCCCAUCUGACGCUGAUGCGCGAAAACCAGGGGAGCGAACGGG